UACGGAGGGUGCAAGCGUUGUUCGGAUUUACUGGGCGUAAAGCGCGCGUAGGUGGGGUGAACAAGUCGGAAGUGAAAUCUUGAGGCUCAACCUCGAGGCUGCUCCCGAAACUGUUCGCCUAGGGACUGGUAGAGGCUGGUAGAAUUCCCGGUGUAGCGGUGGAAUGCGUAGAGAUCGGGAAGAAUACCUGUGGCGAAGGCGGCCAGCUGGGCCAGAUCCGACACUGAGGCGCGAAAGCGUGGGGAGC
RNAcentral lists this ribosomal RNA (247 nucleotides) under uncultured bacterium. RNAcentral describes it as "partial 16S ribosomal RNA". It matches the Rfam family "Bacterial small subunit ribosomal RNA", at positions 524 to 769 of the family's 1533-position model. The record is from RNAcentral.